UGGGGGAUAUUGCACAAUGGGCGAAAGCCUGAUGCAGCGACGCCGCGUGGGGGAUGAAGGCCUUCGGGUUAUAAACUUCUUUUGCUCUGAACAAGGCGCACCAUGGGGUGUGUUGAGUGUAGGGGUUGAUUAGCGCCGGCUAACUACGUGCCAGCAGCCGCGGUAAUACGUAGGGCGCGAGCGUUGUCCGGAAUUAUUGGGCGUAAAGGGCUUGUAGGUGGCUGGUUGCGUCUGUCGUGAAAGCUCAUGGCUUAACUGUGGGUUUGCGGUGGGUACGGGCUGGCUUGAGUGCAGUAGGGGAGGCUGGAAUUCCUGGUGUAGCGGUGGAAUGCGCAGAUAUCAGGAGGAAUACCGGUGGCGAAGGCGGGUCUCUGGGCUGUUACUGACACUGAGGAGCGAAAGCAUGGGGAGCGAACAGG
Molecule: ribosomal RNA, 419 nt
Filed under: bacterium
Lineage: Bacteria
Description: partial 16S ribosomal RNA
Rfam family: Bacterial small subunit ribosomal RNA
Source: RNAcentral